Molecule: small RNA, 572 nt
Filed under: Pan troglodytes (chimpanzee)
Lineage: Eukaryota; Metazoa; Chordata; Mammalia; Primates; Hominidae
Description: retained intron
Source: RNAcentral
AUUGGGCUGGCUUUGCGGAGGGCGCGGGCGGCUCCGCCCGCACUUCUCGGCCUUUCCUAACUGCGGCAGAUGGGAGGGGGCCGGAGAGCCCGGAGAGUGUGCGGCUGCGCAGUUGGAAAGGUGGCAGUGGGCGUUGCGGUUGCUGCGGUCUGGGCCCAGUAGCGGACCGUGUUGGGAGGGAGCUGGGUUUUCAUUUUGUCUGCAAGUAACCUGGCCUCAUUAGAGGCGCUGUUGGCAAUCUCGUUCAUAACAUCACUGUGUAAACAUUUUAUGCCGUUGAUGUUUUUGAUUGUUUAAUCUGGCGUUUGUCUGUGACAGUCAUUGCUAUUAUCUCGAUUGAAUUACUUUCUAAUAGGAAGUACUAGCCGGACAUCAUGAGUGGCUGUCGGGUAUUCAUCGGGAGACUAAAUCCAGCGGCCAGGGAGAAGGACGUGGAAAGAUUCUUCAAGGGAUAUGGACGGAUAAGAGAUAUUGAUCUGAAAAGAGGCUUUGGUUUUGUGGAAUUUGAGGAUCCAAGGGAUGCAGAUGAUGCUGUGUAUGAGCUUGAUGGAAAAGAACUCUGUAGUGAAAGG